This is an RNA transcript of Physeter macrocephalus (sperm whale), 14052 nucleotides long. It is a transcript of the gene named fibronectin leucine rich transmembrane protein 2, with no coding region annotated. The transcript has 3 exons. NCBI's taxonomy places the organism in Eukaryota, Metazoa, Chordata, Mammalia, Artiodactyla, Physeteridae. The record is from RefSeq and is a predicted model, not a curated record.
UUUAGAAGUUUCCUUCUUUACGAACUCACCUAAAAUGAUGAGAGUUGGAUUUCUUAAAUUAAAACUGUAAAAAAUCUUGCGAUUGUGUAAAUAUUUUGUGUAAAUAUUGUGUAAAUAUUUUGAUUUUAAAGUAACACUUCACUGUCUCUCCCCCAUUAUCCUAGAGGCGUUUGCCUGUUAGGAUGGGGGUAAUUUUACGAGGUCGGCUUUGUGAUUUGGGACUUUUACUGUGAUGGGGAAUGAGAAAUAGGGAGGCUGUUUUGGAGGAAAGAGAAGAUGUAUUUAUAGAUAGAAAACCUGCAUUCUCAUGUCAGCACACUCCUUUCUACACUGAUGACCUUGGACAAAUUACUUCAUCUUCUGGAGACUUAAUUUCCUCUCUACAGAGUUCAACAGGGUUGUUAUGGGGUCAGAUAAGAUUAAUGUGUGUGAAAAUACCUUGGUAAUAAUUCAGUGUUAUAUUCCCAUAAAGAGGCGUUAUUCAAAUUGAUACCAUUUAUCACUGCAGGACUGUCAGGUGCUAGGAUAGUUCUAGGUUUUAUGUAAAUAGAAGGGUAACCAAGACAGAGUGCCCUGCCCUCCAGGAGGUUUUGUUUUUGUGAGUGUUCUGGAUACCACCCAACCAGUAAAGUGUCUGGUGGUCCUCUACAUCACUCCCUCAUUUCAUUUCAUGGUGCAUGAUCUUCUUCCGUGGUGAGUUUGGGCACAAGGGCCAAGCUUUCCUUCCUUGACAGCUUGGCUUGACAUUGGAAACUGAAUUUAUCACAGAUGGAUUCCACUGGGGAUCUUUUGGGAAGGAACCGUCAACAUUCCCUGAAGUAAGGUUGUUUCUUUUUGGAUGGCUUUAUACUUUAGCCAUCCAAAUGAACCUUUUGCAAAAACACAGUCAUUACUAGAAUAUAUGAUGAUUUUUCGGACUUAUGUUUUGCAAAAUAAGGCAGGCCAGUGCAAAAGACUGUCAGUAGUUUGGAAGCCUCCUGAGCCCAUUACCAAUAAAUGGCCUCAUUUAUUAAGAAACAACACAGUCUCCAAAGCUUGGCCUUAUUUUGACUUGUGAGUGUCCCAAAGCCCUUGUGGGACAGUUCUUUACAACUUAUUUCUUCAUAUUUUGUUCAGUUGUAUUUUUAUAAUUGUCAAAUCGGAGACACUUUUAAUUUUAAAUGUUCCGAGAGUUGAGCAUGUUUAUUUUACUUCCCUGAUUUGUAUACAUGUAGGCCUUUGUAAGGGUUAAGGUUUAAUUGUUUUAAAGUUACUUAAUUGAAGCCUGCAGAAAACACACAUAUGUGAAGUGUGUAUUUAUAAAACAUAUGAUUAGGUCAUGAUUCUUGAUCAGAAGAGAAUAUUCCUAUCAGUGAUUUGAAUGUAUGACAGUCUGGAUCUAACAGUGUUCUUUUUAGUUCUGGAUUUUCUAUUUGCCAGAGUUCUGAUCCUUGCUUUUUUCUUUUUUAAGUUGAUUAGCAUUUUAGUAGUACCUUGUAAAGGGCCUGGCCACAGAACUAUAUUUUUACAUGACAAAUUAUUUUCAUAGUUUGAAAAAAUUAGUCUGAAUACCUUUUGUUCUGGCAGUGCCAAAUGAUGUAAUCUUUGAAGAAAUGAUGUUUGCUGCUACUCUGAAGAGUUCUGCUAACAACAUGAGAAGAACCUGUGGGUACAUAUGGGGGAGGUAGUAUAUGUUUGUGUGCGUCUUUGAAAUGCACAAACAAAUCUAAGGCUUAGAUACUAUGGGAUGGGAGUAUUACUUUACCCUUAUGCUAGGGGGUGCUAAUUUAGCCCAGAUGUCCCUGAUAUAAUAGAACAAUGAGAUAACCCAACUUAUUUUUGGUUGGAGCUUUUCACUUCCAAAUAGGUCCUAGGGAAACUCUAAAUAGAUAAACACACACAUUGUAACGAGGGACUAUACUUUUGUGUGAAUGGCGUGGUACUUAUGAGGAGAUAUUAUUCUUGUAGAGGCAGAAGGUAUACAUCCGACGAUGAAGAAAGCUUUUUCAUACAUUCAGGAGAUGACUUUUGCCACUUACCACGUACCAGGCAUGGAGUAAGACUGGAGAGGCAAACAUUGGUAAUGCAGGAUCCCUCCACAGAGGCAACCCAGGCUGGUGAGGAGAGAGGAAGACAUAAAACCUAUCUGCAUGGCAGUUUCAUCCAUGAUUGAAGACAGUGCCAGGAGCACAGAGUAUUAAUGAAAAGAGCUUUACAUUUGGAGAGAGAGUCUCGGGUUCUAAUGCUGCCUUUGUCCCUUGUUAAUUAUGUAAACUUGGGCACACCUUAAAAAUAUCUUUUAGUCUUUGUCUCCUCAAGUGGAAAAAUGGAAGGAAAUUCUUUCUAGUCACAGAGCUGUUCUUCUGAGGAUUGAGAUAAUUAUAUAAAAUGUCUGCCUGUCUGGCACACAGUAGAGGCUUAAUAAAUGCUGACCGCAGAUCCUUCUUUCUCUGAAAUGAUAAUGAUUCCAUUUUGUUACUCUCCCCCUCUACACAUACCUCUGCAUUGCCCUGGAAUCCCGAAGAAGGCUUUUGACCCUUUGAACCGGUUCAUUAACAGGAUACAGCUUCUGCAAAAGACAAUUUCGUUAUUUAUGCACGUAACAGAGCAUGAGGGGACAGCAAAGGAAAGCGCUCUCCACAUAGUGGCAGGAUGGGCUCAUGGCUAGUGGGAUACAGUGUGGGCUGAUGGUGUGAGAGGGCACAGAGGGAAGGGACGGAGGGCAGAAAAGAGGCCUCAUUGUGGGGAAUCAGAAGCUGGUGUCAGCUGGGUCCUGCCUGACUUGCAAUGUUUUUGGUCAUUGAAAGCAUAGCCUUUGGCACCCCGCCCCCCCAUUCAUCUCCCUGCCCCUUUCCAGGGGGACAGUACCUGCAGCUUGCAACAACCCCCAUGUCUAGACUGUGACCCUGGACACAGUGAGCCGAGGUUAUGAUGCCUCUGCUAGUCUAUGGAGAUUUUUUUUAUCAGAAUGCAUUUUAAACACUUGCUUCACACAAUCCAUCUCGCACAUGACUCUUGGCAGAGUCAAGAAGAUAUUUUAUUGUAGAGGAUUAACAUGUAAAUCAUUGCUCUGUUUAUAUAAUGCUUAUUCUGUGCUUACAGAAUGAUUAUACCUUGCUUGUAUAAUGGUAGAUGCUCGAAUCAGAAUGAUGCUCUUGGGUUAUCAUUUCCGUGUGGAAGGAUUUCUUUCAGAAAGCCAUUUUCAAUUAAUUUAAGUAAAGGAGCUUCUUACUGCUUCUGUGUGAGACACUCCUGAAAAGCGCUCAAAGGCACUGGUCAAAUACACAGCGCUGGGGUUAUUUUUCAUUUCAUUAUGAUUACAUGUAUAUAUAGUAUAAUCUUUGCAUUCUACUGAGCAGCUGAGACUUGGUUCUUUUUUCUUAGCACGAUGAAUCUGUGUAUUGAUGUAGGAAGGUUAUAUUUAAGAAGAUGUUAGGGGGCUUCCCUGGUGGCGCAGUGGUUGCGCGUCCGCCUGCCCAUGCAGGGGAACCGGGUUCGCGCCCCGGUCUGGGAGGAUCCCACAUGCCGCGGAGCGGCUGGGCCCGUGAGCCAUGGCCGCUGAGCCUGCGCGUCCGGAGCCUGUGCUCCGCAACGGGAGAGGCCACAACAGAGGGAGGCCCGCAUACCACAAAAAAAAAAAAAAAAAAAAAAAAAAAAAGAAGAUGUUAGGAACCCCCAGCUUCCAAGUUUGGAAACACAGAAGGUUUUCCUGUUAAAAUCACAUCAUAUAUAUGCAACACAUAUACAUACAAUCAAUCACAUUGGAGAAGAGAAGCAGGCACUAGAGUGUAUUCUGCAAGCUCUUCACUUCUUAGUAAGUAGCUUUAGAACCAACAUUCCGCCCAGCGUAAAACAAUAAGACCUUGUUUUGCUUCUUUAGAACAUGUAAGAGAGAUUAAAAUUCUUUGGGAAAUGGUUGAAAAUAUAUAUUUUUUUUUACCCGAAUAGGUAAGGAACCAGUCAAAUAGUGCUGACAGCAAUGGAAUGUAAAGCUCAAUUCUCAUAAUCUCUGAAUCCCAAAGGAAUGCAAGGCAGACAUCCAUUCAAGUCACAAGUUUAUAACUGGGGAUUUGAUUUUACCAUGUGCCAGGCACCAUGCUAAGUUUUGUUCUGAGCAUUUGGGAUACUCUUUCAAAGAAGACCUCAUCCCUCCUCCCCAGGAAAUCUAAUGGAUUGACCUAGAGUUGCCCUUUUCCAAACUAGACUCAUCCAUCUGAAUGAACUGGUUAAAAAACUGGAGGAGCUGGUUAAAAAUCCAUGUUUCUGGGCCUGAGGCCUGGAGACCCCGAUAUUUUAAGUCUGUGAUGAAGCCUGGGAAUGUGGAUGUUCAAAAGUUCCUGGGAUUGGAGAUCACUCACUGAUCAUUUUUAGAAUUUUUUCCGACCCAGAGACUCAGUGGUUUUAUAGUUGUCUGGUUUAGAGUAACUUGUGAAUUUCUGAAAGUAUUUUUCCCAUAUAUUUUGCCACAUAGGAAAUAUUGCUCCAUUUAACCCAACUCUUCUAGGGGAACCUUCUGAGGGACCAGAUGUCAGGGCUGGUUUCUCUCUUGGUAGCCACAGUCUCCUGUGUGGUUUCUCCACCAUCUGUCUGUACCAUUCUUGGUGUCCCCAGAGUUAAUCCCCUAAGAAAGCAAAUCACAUUGCAUUACUAGUCCUAUGACUUGGAUUUCCUGUCCCCCUGGAUAAAGCCCAUCCAAACUUGUUAUCAUGACACAUGAGAUCCAUGACAAUCUGGGUCCCAAGCAUCACUCAGACCUCAUUCUCCAGCACCCAUCCUCAGCACCCACGCUCCAAAGAUGGUAAGGCCUCUUGAUAGUUAGCCUUCCCCAUGCUGUUUACACUUUACAUAGAAUAUUACCUGCUCACUCUCCAUUUGGCAAACUCUUUUCCUUUAAGACACACAGGAAUGACACAUUCCCUCCCAGUCAAAAUUAGUCAUUACUUUCUCUGGGCUUCUAGAGCAUUUUGUUUGUCACCUUAUUAGUUCCCUGUUGGUGUUGUAUGUAUUGUAAUGUGUCUGUUCACGUGUCUAUCUCUCCCAGUAGACCCAAAAACCUUGGCUCAUUCAUCCCGUCUCCCUGGUACUAACAAUAGUGCUCAAUGCCCCAGGUUCUGCAUAAAUGUAAUUGAAUGAAUAAGUAUAUAAUUGUGCUGGACAAUUCUGGAAAACAAGAAGAUUCAUAAUCUAGUGACAGGGGCUGCUUCCUCAGAAGUGCUUUCCAUGCCUAUAGAUUGGUGGCUCAGUGGGGAAAAAAUACAACCACCACCAUUCUGCCUUACUGUAAGAAGGUUUGUCAGGCAAAAGCCUUUUGGUUAACCCAACCCUGAUCAGCAUCAAGCUCUCCAAACCUCACAUGAGGCAAUUUCAAAUGCCACACUCGAAUAUCUGUUUAGAGAAGGAAUAAUUUUGCUUGAUGAAGUAUCUCUCUUGGCACCGAGUAAAACCAUCAGUUAAGUAGAUGUUCACGCAGAUGUGGUUUCCACAAAAUGAGAAAUUUAACUUAUAGUGUUAACUUUGUGUCUCUUUCCGGGCAGAAUUCAAGAGAGCAAAGCAAAGAACUUGUGACAGUGCUGUGCAUUUGCCCUCUUUUUCAUGUUGUUGCUCUUCGUUUUUGUUUUGUUUAUUUUAUCGUAGGCACAUUAUUUCCUGAUGGCGAUAUCUGAGGAAUGAGGGCCCUCCAAAGAGGAGAAAAGAAGACUAGGAAUCAUAGAUCCUUAGUCACUCUGUCUCCACAAAGCAGGAUCCACCCUAGUCCUCAUGAUUUGCACAUUGAAUGCAGCAAAGCACAUGCAAAGGUUGCAACAGAUUCUAAACUUGCAUGGUUUAAUGUGAUCACGGUAGUGACAGAAGUUGGACUUCAGGUCCUUCUUGUUGGCCAAGAGACAAUUCUAACACCUUGCUGCUUUUAUGGUAGACUAUCGCUUGAUGGACAGAGAGGACUUGUUUGCAGGUGGGGGUGGUGUAUGCACAUAUAAACACACUCUGUUCCCUCCUCCCCCUUUUUUAGCAAACUUUUCAGUAGCUAAAAGAGUAGAAGAUAGUGGAGCACAUUUUGACAUGCCCACACCUUAACCCUUGGUCCCCUCUGGGCUGUCUAUAUACUGGCAACACUUUCCAUGCCAAUAGGCGACCCAUGGAUGACCUGAGAUGACUUUUGAUAAAGUACUCUGCUUGAGUUCUCGGGGCUAAUCACCCUGCCCCCCCCUCCCCCGCCACAAGGAUCUUACAGGGUUAAUUUAUGGGGCUGUUUAGAAACAAUACGCUUUCCUGAUUCUUGAAUCAUGCUGGGUAUCAGUAAGGCCACAUGCUCGUCUAGGGGGAUUACUACUACUACUAAUAGUAGUAGUAAUAAUAAUUAACAGCAGUGAUUGUAUUGAUUAUACAAUUCAUUUAGGAUGCUUAUGCAGUUCAUGUAUAUUAUCAUGUUUAAAUAUUCACAAAAACCCUGUAUAAGAGGUUCUGUUUAGAAAUACUGCUAAUAACCCCAGUUUACACACAGGGAAACUGAAGUAGAGCAAAUUGCGUCAGGUUGCUUAUCUUAUUUUGUAACUGCAGUUAAUUAGUUUUAUAGGAUAGGUGAGCACUGGGUAAUUUCCGAAAUCCACUCUAAAUUUAUUUUUCCGUGCCUUAAAAUCAAAUUCCGGGAUGAUUGUUCACUGUCCUCUAGGCAGCAUGUGGUCCAGCUUUCCAUAUUCGACUUUUUAAUAGGUAACUGUCUAAGAAGUAAUUAUUUGCUCUUUGCCAUUUUUGAGUGAAAGCAGUUCUUGGGUCUGUCCAUGCAUUUCUAUAAAAUGGGAAGAGAGAAGAGUCAUUAAUUAGAAGAUAAAGUGUGACAACUUCUAGCAUGUUUUCAGUACUAAUCAAAGUCUGUGGUAAGUACCUAGUGAUUAAGGAGUCGGUUUUCGGAGAGCAGACUCUCCAUUUCUUGUCUUUACCCUUUUACCAGCACUACUAAUAAAUAAUUAGAUGGACUGAUUUGAGAUGCACCUCUUUUUCCCUGUGGGGGUGAUAAUGGACAGUGGAAUGGCCAAAGGGCAGAUAAUAACAUAGAGCGAGAGGUUUCUGAGAGAGCCUGGAAAUGACUGACAAUUGACCGUACUAUGAAUAGAUCAGAUUCUCUCCUUUUCUAAAUCUAUGUGAUUGCUCAGGUGGUAGACCCUGUUGGGUGAAAAAAUGACCCAGAGAUGGUCUGGGAAAGGCUGUUGCAUGUUGAUAAUUUGAACAUAAGCCCAGUGCUUACAGGUCGUCACCCAGUUGAAUUUGAUUUUUGACCAUCCCUCUUUCUUCACCCUUUCUGCUGAUGCCGUCAUCUCUGCAUGUAUUUUCGUUGCAUUUUAUGAAUUUGCAAUUAUUUGUCCUUCCUAGUUCUGUAUACAUAUUCUUAAUUCUGUCUAAAUUAAGUGAUCCAUUGCUUAAUUCUUUCAUUUCCCUGUAGGCAGCUAGACCAUGGCUGCUGUUGUUUCUAUGUUCUUUUGUCACCACAUGCCCAUCAUCUGUCAUGAGACUUCUGUGGAUGGGGUGGCAUAAGACGAUUUCUAAGUUGGGUCAGUUUGGACAGGCUCGUGGAUGGGGCAGUGUAUGGAAGCACGCUCUGCCCACGUGUGGUAGCCAUUUGAUAAGCGGCUCCCCAGCUCCAGGGCCACAUGCAAACACCAGCUCUGUUGGCCCUCUGGUGAAUUCUGUGUUAUUUCUGUCUAUGGCAGAAAUUUUACCUAAUGCUUUGUGUCCACUAUCUGUGAGCUCAUUUAAGGUGAAGCCCUUGCCCAACAAAUGUUUGAGGAGCUAAAUUGAACCAAAGCAUUUGCUCUCUGCAGUCUGCAGCUGAGAAGUAAUCAGGCCACGUGGAAGAAACUGAAACAUACCAGUGUCAGUCUUGCUGGAAAUGGCUGCCUGGUCUCUUUGGACCAUGCGCAGACCUAUAAAGGAUCAGCCUGCGACCCAGGGUCACUCUUCCCUCUCCACUCAGAGUGGUGAACUCACUUGGAUUUUGUUGGAAUUCAAUGUCGGUAUGUCAUUUUAAACAAAGUCUCACUCUGUUUAAUUCAUAUGUCUUUAUUAAACAAGAUCCGCUGUCUAGAACCACUGCUUUGAGUCAUCUUUGAUUACUCCCUUUCACUCACUUUCAACUGUUCUGUCACUAGUUUUAUGCAUCUUUCAAAAAUUCUGUCCUAAAAAAAAAAAAAAAAAAAUUCUGUCCUUCUUGCCCUUUCACUUUGGCUGCAUUGCAGGUAAACCCAGGUGUUCUUUCCUCCCCUGACUUGCACACCACAGCUGCUCUUCCUCAUUUUCAGGUGGAUGCUACUGCUUUCCAUUAUUCACAGGGUCAAGGCUAAACUUUUAAGCUUGACACUCAAGGCCAUUCUUUCCGUGGCUUUCCUUUAUCUUCCCAAAGAAAGUUAGUCUUCUCUUCUGAACUAAAUGUAGGGUGAGCCCUCACUUUUAUCUUUAUAAUAGUCUCAUUGUGGUGUAAAAUUUUACCUGGCGCUUUGUGUCCACUGUCUGUGAGCUCCUUUAGGGAGAAGGCCAUGCCCAGUAAAUGUUUGAGGAGCUCCAUUGAACUCAGGUAUCUGACUCCAACCUACCUCUGAAACUUAUAGCACCAGUCUCUAUCUCCAUCAACAUAUACUACUUCCCAUCAUUUUCAAUACUGAGCAAAUUAAUAUUAACAGAAGUUUGCAGAAAUAACUCAUGCAUUUGAAUUUCAAAGUUAUCUAAUAGAAGCUUCCCUUGUUCCCUCUGUGGAACACUUUGUCAAAGCAGUGCACUCUUGCUUUGAAAACAGGAAGGUAGAACAUUCCAACAGCACCAUGAACCCUCUGUUUAUAUUUGUAAAAUCUGUAGUCUUUCCAGACCUCUAAGCAAGAGCAAAUAGAAAUAAUCAGAGGCAUUAGACUUGAUUAUGUUGAGCUGGAUUCUUAUAACUGAGGCUGGAUAGCCAAAAUUAGUGGUGUGAUGGUUUAUACUGAAAGAGAUGCUUGCAAUAUUGCAGAACCACAGACUGCAGCUUGCUGGAAUCUUUGAAGACAUCUGGAUGUUUUGAAAAAUGCAACGAUCACAUGCUUUUUAUUAUCUCCAUAAUUGUAUUCUUUCAAAAAGGGAGCUGCAUAACGACAGAGGGUGGGUGUAGUGGGAAGGCCAUGGAGUUUGCAUUCACAUGGAUGGCUUUGAAUCUGGUUCUGCCGCAACUAGCUAGAGUAACUUGAGCGUGUUUCUUCACCUUGGGUCUACUUCCUCCAUUUGUAAAUGGAGGAAAAAUAAUAUGCAUCUCACAGGAUCACUGUGACAAAUAGAUUAGGUGAUGCCUGACACACAUCAAGUACUAGUAAGCCUUAGCUCUCCUUCCUUUUGCACUCCAGCUUGGAAUAAUAUGAGUGCUGUGGUUUAUAAAUGGCUAUUUUUUUCCUACAUAGAUAAGGCAGUUCUGUAAUACUAUGUCACUGUUUCCCUAAAGGAUCUCUCUGUGGGGCAACACUGCCUCUUGCCCAAUUUCUCCAUAACAGUAUUUAUGUCUGGGGUCCAGAAGAGGAAAUGAUAUCUUAGAAAUAGUUAUCACUCUGUCUCAAUUAGGACACUCACUGUUGAAGAACUCUUAAACACACUUUGCUUCUGGGAAAAAAAGAAAUCUCUCCAGCAGUCUUAUCACCUCAAAAACAGUGAGUAUCAUGGAUUAUUAGAAAGGAAUUACUCAAAGAGAGCGCUCUUAAAAACAACUGCCCGCCAAGGAGUCUGGCUUAUCAACAGGCAAAAAAAGAAUUUUUCUACUAAAUUUUAGCUUGUCACUAUAAACAUGAAAAUGGCAAUACUCAUAAUAUAUUCUGUGGGGACGAUGCAAUGAGUGUUUCCACUAGGUGAAAUUCUCAAGUAAGAGCUUCUAAGAAUGAACAUUAACUCUUCAAGAACCCUAGGGAAUGUCUAUUAGGAAAUAAGUAAACAGCAAAAUGAAAGCUAUUACAAAGAGGGAAGCAAAACAGGCAAAUCUAGUAAAUAAUUUUAUUGUGGACCACAUUGUGGAAAAUAUGAUGGGAUGUGAGGCACAUUUCAUUUAGCAUGAAUGACCAAUGUGAUUAUAAUUGGCUAAUGAAUAUGUUUUCUUUUUCAGCAUAAUAUUAGUGUCAUCCAGAGUUAUGAAGGUGUUUUUCAUAUCAAAACCCCACAGCCAUGAGAAAUUAUAUUCGUAGACUUAUUUUCUGGUAAAAAGUCAAUGUUGUUUCAGCUUCACUUAGAUUUCAGUUUAAAGGCUUGUCUGCAGUCUGAAAACACAUGUUAGCAGAUAAAGAAGGAUCUAUACCACAUGACUUUAUUUUUUACCCCUAUAAACCAAUAUCAGAGCUUAUCCUUGAUUGUGUUUUUCUUUGUGUGGAAAUCUUGAUCUUCUUGUAUAAAAUACUUCGGAAGUUUGGAAGGGAUCUCAUGGGAGAAUUGUAGUAUUUCCUUCAUUAGCGAUUUUUCAGAUAACAUGAAUAAUUAUCCUGAUGGUUUAGCUUAAAUUUGGUCUCCGAUGACAGGCAUGCAAGCAAGCUGUCUUGUCACUGCCCACUCUCGUUUCAUGAUUCUUUAUUUCUAGAUCAUUAAUGGGAUUUCUAUGAAAAUAUAUAGCAAAUAGAAUCCUGAAGAGAUGAGUAUUCAGAUGAUUAUUAGUCCUUAAGUGACAGAGAGACUUGUAAAUAAUGGAACGUCGAGAGAAAUCUCUAAUUUCAUUUAAUGGUAGCUUGGCUGUGAUUGUGAUUCCACCUUUUUACCAGGACUCCUAACAAGAAGAUGAAAGGAUUGCAACUUCAAGUCCCAUAUUUCUUUUGCUCUUCAAGAUUUAGAGCACGCUGCUGAUGGAGGAGUGCUAGCUGGUAUCUGUGAAAUGUGCUGAACAGGACCAUUAGGCCAUAAUUGAAGUGAUAUAAGAAACAGGAUUGUUUGGAAAAAUUAGGAAAUGGAGGUAGACUGGAAGCUUAAGAGGAGCACGGACAUGCUGCUGGUAGAGAUAACUUUCUAGAACCUCCUUUUCUGCCUACAGUAGCUCUUAGCCUUCUCCAAUGGAGAGUAAUUGAGAAUUCAUUAAAAAAUGCAGUGUUUGCUUUUUUUUCAUAUCACUCUAUGAUUUAAUUCUCUGGAGCCCAAGUGAUAGCAAUAGGUGCUCCCAUGUCACCUCUGCUUGUCCUGUUCAACGGGAGGGGUUGGGAGGGGUAGUACCUUGUGGUCAUCGGCACAUCCAAACUUGACUCCAGGUAGAGGGAAUGUCAAGGACAGCAUGGUUGUUCAGUGUUAGUAUUAGGUGGGCCUGAGUUUGAAUACCAGCUCUAUUACUACCUAACUGUGACACUUUGGGCAAAUUAUAAAUUUUAUCUCAACCUCUUGUAUAAAGUGAAGACAUUAAUAUUUUAUAGAGUUCUUAUAAAGAUUAAGUGAAAUAAACUAUGCAAAAUAUUAUGCCUAGUAGGAUCUUAGCAUAUUGUUAGUUUUCGGUGUGUUUGGCUAAUUACCACUGUAUCUUAAGUUCUUGAAUGAAUGGAUGGAUGAGUUCAUGCAUGGAUGAUUUAUAUGUAUGUUCUGCCUUGAAAUCCCUAAAAGAUUCAUUUUAUUUAGGAUUGCAGUGGACCCUAAUGGAAUAACUAAAGAUUUAAUUUAAUUAUUGCUGGAGAGAAAGCGUGGCAUGAAAUGGAAACAUGAAGAUGGGAACUGUUUUUUGUAAUCCUUUCCAUUUUUGUAAUUCCUAUUUCUUUUAUUUCCUAAAGCUUUCAGUUUGGUUAUAUCAUUUUACUUUCCUAUCUCCUGUAGUAGGUGGGGUGUGUACAAUUAUCACUAUCUCAAAGAUUCCCAGAGAGGAAGAUGAAAUGGGGAAGGUCAUGUCCAUUUCUGUUUUGUAUAGCUAUGUACCAAAUAGUCAUCUUAUCAACAAUUGGUGCCAUGAGCUGGACUGGACAAGCAGUGUGGGAUCAUCAAAAGAUCAAUAGGCUAGUGGGCAGAUGUUCUGAAUUCUAGUUUUUGUGCUGUCUCUAAAAAAAUCUUUGAUCUCUGUCAAAUUUCUCAACUGUCUUGAGCCUCAGUUCCUUCAUUUGUUUAAGACUGGACAGUUCCCGUAAUUCUUUAAUUCUCAGAAUCUAGGGAGCCAGCAUUAGUGGUUAGAAGCUAGGCUCUGCUUGGGCUUGUAGCUGCCUUCACUACUUCACAGCUCUGGCACCCUGGCAAGGUACUUAAUCUCUAUAAGCCUCACCUUUCUCAUCUGUGCAGUGGGGACAGCAAAAUUAAAACGUCCUUUAAAAAGUUGCCAUGAGAAUAAAAAACAAGGUCCUACUGUAUAGCACAGGGAACAAUAUUCAAUAUCCCAUGAUAAACCGUAAUGGAAAGGAAUAUGAAAAAGAAUGUAUGUAUAACUGAAUCACUUAGCUGCACAGCAGAAAUCAACAGAACAUUGUAAAUCAACUAUAUUUCAGUAAAAUAAAUUUUAAAAAAAGAAAAAAAACCAAAACCCCAAAACCAAAAAUAAACCAAAGAAAAAUCAUGUUAAUAAAAAAAUGAAAAUAAAUAUAUAAGUAAUCGAAAUAAAUGUGAGUAGAUUUAAUUCACACAUUAGUUAGAGAUUCUCAGAUUUGAUAAAGGAAAUAAAUGGGUAUUAUGCUAUUUAGAAGAGACAUCUCACCCCUAUUAAAAAACUAUACCUGAAGUUCUAAAAUAAAAGAAUAGAAGAUUAUACCACACAAAGAGAAAUUAAACAAAGCAAACAAAUAAACAACAAAAACUCCACCAUCAACAACAACAACAGUAAAACAGAAAGAUGCCAAAGAAAAAGAAAUUGAUAAAGCAGUAGCAACAACCAAUAACUAAAAAACAAACGAAACACUUAAGAAUUAUAGAAAGGAAAAUGUAAAUCAUGUAUAAUGCCAAAUACUGGUAAUGAUCAUCACUAUUAUUAUCUCCAUAAGUUUUUCCAAAUUUGGAAUUCUAUUAAAUAUUUUUUUAUUUUUAAAAAAACAAGUUGCCAUAAGGAUUAAAUGCAUGCCGAGCAUUUAGCAUAGUAUCCAGUGCAGUUAUGUGCUCAAUAAAUAUUAACAAGUCUUCCAACAUGACUUAUUCCAAAAAAAGGUAAGGCAAGCAUCACUGAUGUUUUGGAAAAGAAAUAGACGUUAAUGUGUCCCUGUAUUACUGACCCAACAGCCCAAGUCAUGCCCUUCGAAGCUACCAAGGGCAGAUGAUCACAGAAGAACAUCCCACAGGCCUCUUCCGUGAGAGGUGUGGUCCCUCUCGUUCCCUCUAGGAGCUCAGCCAGUGUUUCAUGAAGAUACUGUUGAUGAUUCUGCCACAGCAUGGAAUUUCCUGGUGUAGACAGCAGCUCAACGAAUUAGAGGAAUAGGAUCAUUGUUUUUCAGGUAAGGAAAGGGAGGCUUACAGAAGUGCUGUCACAUGCACAGGAUCAUGUGGCUCGGUUUCCCUCCAGGGAUGUUCUUGGGACUCACCACUCCUCCCCAGGUCUGUGCUGUCCAUUGCCAUCAAGAGGUUAGAUGUCAGGGUACAGGUUAGACCCCAUACCCUGGGCUUCCCCUGGCAUCAGCAGCUUUUAGUGGCUUUCCUGUCUCCUUCACUCUCGCUUCAUGUCGGAUGGACAGGGCUUUUUAUCUGUCUCAAGAAGCCCAUAGGAUUUGAGCAAAAAUGUUGACUUUCUUGCAUCUCUGCCAGAGUUUCUCCCUUCCCUCCCCAGAAAUUUCAACAAAUCUCUUCAUGCUGCUUCCUCAUUUCUGUUCUUCAAAGUGUUUCUGCCAGACAGACAGACCUUGUCUGUCCCAGCUCCGACUCUUCAGGGAUGGGACAUUCUUUAGGCAACGACAGUUCAAUAACAAGAAAGAAUGCCAUCACAUGAUUGCAUUAUGUUCUUCAAAAUGAAAUCUAUUGAAAGUUGAACAGUAUAAACAACAAGGAACAUAAUCGGUCAGAGUGACCCAGGGGAAAUGGCCCAAUGAAAUUAAACAAAGGAAAUUUUAUACUGUGAGGGAAAAAUCAAUGGAUUGUAACAGAACUUGGUAAGAAGAGACAAAACUCUUGAGUCCCAGAGACCCAGAGGUGAUUGAGAAGCUGUGUGAACUGGAA